AAAUUGAAGAGUUUGAUCAUGGCUCAGAUUGAACGCUGGCGGCAGGCCUAACACAUGCAAGUCGAACGGUAACAGAAAGCAGCUUGCUGCUUUGCUGACGAGUGGCGGACGGGUGAGUAAUGUCUGGGAAACUGCCUGAUGGAGGGGGAUAACUACUGGAAACGGUAGCUAAUACCGCAUAACGUCGCAAGACCAAAGAGGGGGACCUUCGGGCCUCUUGCCAUCGGAUGUGCCCAGAUGGGAUUAGCUUGUUGGUGGGGUAACGGCUCACCAAGGCGACGAUCCCUAGCUGGUCUGAGAGGAUGACCAGCCACACUGGAACUGAGACACGGUCCAGACUCCUACGGGAGGCAGCAGUGGGGAAUAUUGCACAAUGGGCGCAAGCCUGAUGCAGCCAUGCCGCGUGUAUGAAGAAGGCCUUCGGGUUGUAAAGUACU
This 437-nucleotide ribosomal RNA is filed under the name Escherichia coli. RNAcentral describes it as "bacterial SSU rRNA". It matches the Rfam family "Bacterial small subunit ribosomal RNA", at positions 1 to 434 of the family's 1533-position model. The record is from RNAcentral. Lineage: Bacteria; Pseudomonadati; Pseudomonadota; Gammaproteobacteria; Enterobacterales; Enterobacteriaceae.